GUAGGUGAACCUGCGGAUGGAUCAUUAUCACGUAUCCACGUAUAAACCAUUGUGAACUGUAAUUUUGCCCUAUGAAAAGAAUUUUUUUUUUGUGAUUCGGAGAUGACUUCGCGGUCGUUUUCUGUCUUUUCAUAGUGUAUAAUCACAUUAAUUAACAAUUUUAACCUUUUAAUUUAAUUAUUGAACUGAUUUUAUUUCUUACUCUUCACGGAGAAGAAAUUUCAUUACGAAACAUAAGAACAACUCUUAGCAACGGAUAUCUUGGUUCUC
RNAcentral lists this unclassified non-coding RNA (270 nucleotides) under rhizosphere metagenome. Its description in RNAcentral is "partial ribosomal RNA internal transcribed spacer region". The record is from RNAcentral.